AGUGGGGAAUAUUGCACAAUGGGCGCAAGCCUGAUGCAGCGACGCCGCGUGAGGGAUGACGGCCUUCGGGUUGUAAACCUCUUUCAGUAGGGAAGAAGCGUAAGUGACGGUACCUGCAGAAGAAGCGCCGGCUAACUACGUGCCAGCAGCCGCGGUAAUACGUAGGGCGCAAGCGUUAUCCGGAAUUAUUGGGCGUAAAGAGCUCGUAGGCGGUUUGUCGCGUCUGCUGUGAAAGGCCGGGGCUCAACUCCGGUUCUGCAGUGGGUACGGGCAGACUAGAGUGCAGUAGGGGAGACUGGAAUUCCUGGUGUAGCGGUGAAAUGCGCAGAUAUCAGGAGGAACACCGAUGGCGAAGGCAGGUCUCUGGGCUGUAACUGACGCUGAGGAGCGAAAGCAUGGGGAGCGAACAGGAUUAGAUACCCUGGUAGUCCAUGCCGUAAACGUUGGGCACUAGGUGUGGGGGACAUUCCACGUUUUCCG
This 480-nucleotide ribosomal RNA is filed under the name uncultured bacterium. RNAcentral describes it as "bacterial SSU rRNA". It matches the Rfam family "Bacterial small subunit ribosomal RNA", at positions 353 to 843 of the family's 1533-position model. The record is from RNAcentral.